Long non-coding RNA from Meriones unguiculatus (Mongolian gerbil), 1951 nucleotides. RefSeq lists it as uncharacterized. NCBI's taxonomy places the organism in Eukaryota, Metazoa, Chordata, Mammalia, Rodentia, Muridae. The record is from RefSeq and is a predicted model, not a curated record. The transcript has 4 exons.
UGGCGGGGCGGCGCGCGCCCGGGGAGCCCCCGGGGGCGGGGUCUGGAGGGGCGGGGCGGGGCUUAGCGGGGCGGGGCUUGGCCGCCGCGCCCGGCCUCCCGACGAGCGGCCCCGCCGCCCAGUUCCCGGGAGCGGGCCGGCCGGUCCCGCCCUCUCCGAGCCCCUCCUGGCGAGGGACGCGAGAUCAGAUGAUCCCCAGCGGGGAUCUAAUUGGCUUCUCUGACGUGGAGGGCUUGGCUCGGGACUGAACAAAGCCCGAAGUCUCCUGGGCCGCCCACGACCUGACACCUCCUGUAGCCCUGGCCGGUCCCCCAGGCCUAUGUGGUGGGUGCCCUGCUGUGCACCCGCAGUACUAGUACCCCAAGCCUGCUGCACCUGAGUAGGGACUUUGGCUCCUCCUGGCCGUAGAAGGAAACCUUGACUGGAUCUGGAUGCUCCGGGUUACUGCUGAACAGUAGAGGGGACUACAAAUGUGUGGUGUGAUUACUUUGAGACUCAAAUCUGGAAUUGGUCAACUUUACACACACACACACACACACACACACACACACACAAGAAUUCCACGUCCUGAGACCACUUCCUCCCAGCACGCGAGAAUUUUUCCUGGUGCUAGGAGAUCUUCAAAAUAAAGCAAUUAUGUGGAAUGGUGAAGGUCAUGCUGUCUGAAAUUGGCUAACAAUUAAUAGCCAACAUGUAAGAAAAAGAAAAAAAAAACCUGUUUACACAGAACAGUUUAAAUCAGGUUUGUUAUGAAAUGUCUAGCAAGAUGAAAAACAUGUGCUUCAGAAAAUAAAACGAAUCACUUUGUCCUUUGGAGUCUCCUAAGAAAUAUGACAAACACACCUGAUGCUGGCAUGAAAACAAAGUGGCACAGUUCUGAUAAGUGUUGUCUUCUAAAAUAGAUCAGUUAUGUAAGAGAGUCAGAAGAAAAGCAUAUCUGUUUCCUAAUUUGGAAAAUGCUUAUCACCGUCAUCCCGUGCUUAUCCCUCCUGCCCACUGCUGCACCCCAAGACUUUUCCUGAUAUAGCUCGGAUGUUAAGACUAACAGGGACACCAUGGUUUUCUUGCACAGGAUUCAGCAGAAGAACGUUCGAACCUCCUCUUUGCACAGUCAGUGAAAUUACUAUUUGUUUUUCACAUUAUCAUUAAAAAAAAUAAAGAUAACUGAGUUUAAACUCGAAAGAGCAUGGGCUGGGGGGAUGUAACGCAAAGGCAGAAUAUAAUCUUAGGCAGUCCUGGGUUCAAUCUUACACACACACACACACACACACACACACACACACACACAUACACACAUUCAUUCAUUCAUACAUACGGUCCGUUUGCUGGUCCAGGUUACUAACAUUCCAGCAACUAGAAUCUAGCUAAUGCACUGAAAACUCAACCAUAAAGCUUGAUACAAUCAGCCCACAUCCAAUAGUGUUACUAUAGGUGAAAUGCCUAUUUUAAAAAAGGCUUCAAAAUCCACCUUCUACUGAGGCGCAAUCAUUAUAUAUGUGAAAGCAGAGCUGGGAUUCUGCUGGCUUGAUGGAAGCCCUCUGGGUAAGGAAUCCAGACACCUCAGUGCUGACUAUAUUCCCUGGGUGGUGGGAAGAGGUCACCCGCUUUCCUGGCUCCCGUUUGGUCACCUGUGCAGACUAGAACCAGCUCCGAGAGUUGCCUUCUACCCCCGGAGCCUAGCUAGAGAGGUUUAUGUGAGCACAGUGACAGGUGGAACAGUGUUUCCCAAGCUCAGCAACACAGCAUUUGACACCUGAUGCAAAUGGAACAGGAGCUAAAGGCUGAAAGGGAGGAGACCGUGUCUUGAGAAAUGUACUUUGUUGUUCCUCAGCCCUGCUCAGAGCGGUUGGAAUGAGCCGCUGGGAUAUGAGCAUUAAUGCAGUCACUGGACAGGGAUCCUUUAACCCCUACAUAUCUGCUUACACCUACCAUUAAUCAAGGAGAGGCUGGA